This 244-nucleotide long non-coding RNA is filed under the name Elaeis guineensis (African oil palm). RNAcentral describes it as "long non-coding RNA (EGUI_LNC012792)". The record is from RNAcentral. Lineage: Eukaryota; Viridiplantae; Streptophyta; Magnoliopsida; Arecales; Arecaceae.
GUGUGAAAAUGUGCCACGAACUGUUGACUUAGUUGGUCAGAGGGGCUAAUGCUCCUUGAACGGAGUCCUAAGUACCAAACUCGGGCUGCCUUUCGAAGUGUCACCAGAAAGACCAUACAUAGUAGGGCAUCGAUCAUCUCCUAAAUCAUCAUGAGAGCUUUGUAGCUCUCUAGGUGGUCGAUGUGGUCGGUGGAGCCAUCAUAUGGCUUCAUCUGGGGCAUCUUCAAACGAGCUAGAAUGGGUU